CGUAGGUCCCGAGCGUUGUCCGGAUUUAUUGGGCGUAAAGACGAGCGCAGGCGGUUUGUAUAAGUACUGAAGUUAAAGGACUGUGGCUCAACCAUAGUUCGCUUUGGUAAACUGUCAAAACUUGAGUGCAGAAGGGGAGAGUGGAAUUCCAUGUGUAGCGGUGAAAUGCGUAGAUAUAUGGAGGAACACCGGUGGCGAAAGCGGCUCUCUGGUCUGUAACUGACGCUGAGGCUCGAAAGCGUGGGGGAGCGAACAGGAUU
RNAcentral lists this ribosomal RNA (260 nucleotides) under uncultured bacterium. RNAcentral describes it as "partial 16S ribosomal RNA". It matches the Rfam family "Bacterial small subunit ribosomal RNA", at positions 526 to 779 of the family's 1533-position model. The record is from RNAcentral.